UACGUAGGGUGCGAGCGUUAAUCGGAAUUACUGGGCGUAAAGCGUGCGCAGGCGGUGAUGUAAGACCGAUGUGAAAUCCCCGGGCUUAACCUGGGAACUGCAUUUGUGACUGCACAGCUGGAGUGCGGCAGAGGGGGGAUGGAAUUCCGCGUGUAGCAGUGAAAUGCGUAGAUAUCGGAAGGAACAUCAGUGGCGAAAGCGGCUUCCUGGACCAGCACCGACGUUCAGGCACGAAAGCGUGGGGAGCAAACAGG
This 254-nucleotide ribosomal RNA is filed under the name uncultured bacterium. Its description in RNAcentral is "partial 16S ribosomal RNA". It matches the Rfam family "Bacterial small subunit ribosomal RNA", at positions 524 to 776 of the family's 1533-position model. The record is from RNAcentral.